Molecule: microRNA precursor, 71 nt
Filed under: Rhinopithecus roxellana (golden snub-nosed monkey)
Lineage: Eukaryota; Metazoa; Chordata; Mammalia; Primates; Cercopithecidae
Description: miRNA (ENSRROG00000011770.1)
Source: RNAcentral
GUUGGUGCAAAAGUAAUUGCGGUUUUUGCCAUUGAAAGUAAUGGUAAAAACUGCAAUUAGUUUUGCACCAA